RNAcentral lists this long non-coding RNA (758 nucleotides) under Ananas comosus (pineapple). RNAcentral describes it as "long non-coding RNA (ACOM_LNC005774)". The record is from RNAcentral. Lineage: Eukaryota; Viridiplantae; Streptophyta; Magnoliopsida; Poales; Bromeliaceae.
CUUAAUGGAAAUUUUUUAAGUUAAAAAUUGAAAAAGGGGAUUUGAGUAAAUUGUAAAGAGCAUUACGACGAGCCCUUUUUGGAUUGCGAACUAAUUAGGGUUCUAGAGGAUGAGAUUGGACUCACUGGGAUUGACGUCGGUGCUGAUGAGCUCCAAGACGACGUUGCGGCCGAUCAUGUCGGCGAGGGCAUCGAGGUGGCCGGUAAUGGCAUCCUUGAAGUCCUCCUUGCUCUUCCUCUGGAGGAUGAGAUUGGACUCACUAGGAUCGACGUCGAUGCUUAUAAGCUCCAAAGCGACGUUGCGGCCGAUCAUGUCGGCGAGGGCAUCGAGGUGGCCGGCAAUGGCAUCCUUGAAGUCCUCCUUGCUCUUCCUCCGCACCGUCGGCGCCGGCGAAACAGCGCCGCCUGCGCCUUUGUCUUCGCCGGCGUCGCCUUCUUCUUCACCGCCACCUUCACCGCCGCCUCCUCGCUGAUCGCCGCCACAACCACGCCCGGAUUCGUGCUCCUCCUCCUCGUCCUCUGAUGUUGAUGAUGAUGAUGAUUCGGAUUCAGCACGCCGGGACGGAGAAGCCGAUCGCGACCGAUCGGCUUUAGGGAAAAGCGCUUCUGGGAGCCUGAUGUAGAGAUUGGUGACGUCGAGCGAGAGCUGGGCGUGCUAGAGGGGAUUCUCGGCGAGCCACACGGCACGGUCGUCGCGGCUCCGCCGGAACCCUAGAUGCGGCCGCCGAGAGGUCCUCCGCCGGAGACGACGAUGCCGCC